UACGUAGGGUGCAAGCGUUGUCCGGAAUUAUUGGGCGUAAAGAGCUCGUAGGCGGCUUGUCGCGUCGGCUGUGAAAACUCAGGGCUCAACCCUGAGCCUGCAGUCGAUACGGGCAGACUAGAGUAUGGCAGGGGAGACUGGAAUUCCUGGUGUAGCGGUGAAAUGCGUAGAGAUGCGGAGGAACACCGAUGGCGAAGGCAGCCCCCUGGGCUGACACUGACGCUCAGGCACGAAAGCGUGGGGAGCAAACAGG
RNAcentral lists this ribosomal RNA (253 nucleotides) under uncultured bacterium. Its description in RNAcentral is "partial 16S ribosomal RNA". It matches the Rfam family "Bacterial small subunit ribosomal RNA", at positions 524 to 776 of the family's 1533-position model. The record is from RNAcentral.